RNAcentral lists this ribosomal RNA (498 nucleotides) under uncultured bacterium. Its description in RNAcentral is "bacterial SSU rRNA". It matches the Rfam family "Bacterial small subunit ribosomal RNA", at positions 21 to 518 of the family's 1533-position model. The record is from RNAcentral.
GGCUCAGGACGAACGCUGGCGGCGUGCCUAAUACAUGCAAGUCGAACGGUCUUUCUAUGGAAGCUUGCUUCCACUGAGAAGAUAGUGGCGAACGGGUGAGUAACACGUGGGUAACCUGCCCAUAAGAGGGGGGACAACAUCCGGAAACGGGUGCUAAUACCGCAUAGUUUUCUUGAUCGCAUGAUCGGGAAGGAAAGACGGCCUUUGUGCUGUCGCUUAUGGAUGGACCCGCGGCGUAUUAGUUAGUUGGUGAGGUAACGGCUCACCAAGACGAUGAUACGUAGCCGACCUGAGAGGGUGAUCGGCCACAUUGGGACUGAGACACGGCCCAAACUCCUACGGGAGGCAGCAGUGGGGAAUAUUGCACAAUGGGGGAAACCCUGAUGCAGCGACGCCGCGUGAGUGAAGAAGUAUUUCGGUAUGUAAAGCUCUAUCAGCAGGGAAGAAAAUGACGGUACCUGACUAAGAAGCCCCGGCUAACUACGUGCCAGCCGCCGC